CGAUCCUUCGGGAUAGUGGCGGACGGGUGAGGAACACGUAGCUCAUUUGCCUCCGGGCGCGGGAUAACACCACGAAAGUGGUGCUAAUACCGCAUAAGCUCACGGUCUGUAGAGGACUGCGAGAAAAGGCUUCGGUCACCUGGAGAGAAGGCUGCGGCCCAUCAGGUAGAUGGUGAGGUAACGGCUCACCAUGCCGACGACGGGUCGGGGGUCUGAGAGGAUGACCCCCCACACUGGGACUGAGACACGGCCCAGACUCCUACGGGAGGCAGCAGUGAGGGAUAUUGCACAAUGGGGGAAACCCUGAUGCAGCGACGCCGCGUGGGUGAUGAAGGUCUUCGGAUCGUAAAGCCCUUUUCUGCGUGACGAGAGAGGACGGUAGCGCAGGAAUAAGUCUCGGCUAACUACGUGCCAGCAGCC
This 420-nucleotide ribosomal RNA is filed under the name uncultured bacterium. Its description in RNAcentral is "bacterial SSU rRNA". It matches the Rfam family "Bacterial small subunit ribosomal RNA", at positions 76 to 516 of the family's 1533-position model. The record is from RNAcentral.